CCUACGGGUGGCAGCAGUGAGGAAUAUUGGUCAAUGGACGAGAGUCUGAACCAGCCAAGUAGCGUGAAGGAUGACUGCCCUACGGGUUGUAAACUUCUUUUAUAUGGGAAUAAAAUGUUCCACGUGUGGGAUUUUGUAUGUACCAUAUGAAUAAGGAUCGGCUAACUCCGUGCCAGCAGCCGCGGUAAUACGGAGGAUCCGAGCGUUAUCCGGAUUUAUUGGGUUUAAAGGGAGCGUAGGUGGAUUGUUAAGUCAGUUGUGAAAGUUUGCGGCUCAACCGUAAAAUUGCAGUUGAUACUGGCAGUCUUGAGUACAGUAGAGGUGGGCGGAAUUCGUGGUGUAGCGGUGAAAUGCUUAGAUAUCACGAAGAACUCCGAUUGCGAAGGCAGUUCACUGGACUGCAACUGACACUGAGGCUCGAAAGUGUGGGUAUCAAACAGGAUUAGAUACCCGAGUAGUC
This 460-nucleotide ribosomal RNA is filed under the name uncultured bacterium. RNAcentral's name for it is "partial 16S ribosomal RNA". It matches the Rfam family "Bacterial small subunit ribosomal RNA", at positions 338 to 795 of the family's 1533-position model. The record is from RNAcentral.